This 411-nucleotide ribosomal RNA is filed under the name uncultured Methanosaeta sp. RNAcentral describes it as "bacterial SSU rRNA". It matches the Rfam family "Archaeal small subunit ribosomal RNA", at positions 927 to 1338 of the family's 1478-position model. The record is from RNAcentral. Lineage: Archaea; Methanobacteriati; Methanobacteriota; Methanomicrobia; Methanotrichales; Methanotrichaceae.
UUACCGGGACCGACAGCAAUAUGAAGGCCAGGCUGAAGACUUUGCCGGAUUAGCUGAGAGGUGGUGCAUGGCCGUCGUCAGUUCGUACUGUGAAGCAUCCUGUUAAGUCAGGCAACGAGCGAGACCCACGCCCACAGUUGCCAGCGUACUCUCUGGAGUGACGGGUACACUGUGGGACCGCCGCUGCUAAAGCGGAGGAAGGAAUGGGCAACGGUAGGUCAGUAUGCCCCGAAUAUCCCGGGCUACACGCGAGCUACAAUGGUUGGUACAAUGGGUAUCUACCCCGAAAGGGGACGGGAAUCUCCUAAAACCAAUCUUAGUUCGGAUUGAGGGCUGCAACUCGCCCUCAUGAAGCUGGAAUCCGUAGUAAUCGCGUUUCAACAGAACGCGGUGAAUACGUCCCUGCUCCUU